Mandrillus leucophaeus (drill) is the source of this 59-nucleotide small nuclear RNA. Its record names the gene U7. It matches the Rfam family "U7 small nuclear RNA". From Rfam's summary of the family: Animal histone pre-mRNAs are spliced by a different mechanism than nuclear pre-mRNAs and self-splicing introns. The record is from Ensembl. NCBI's taxonomy places the organism in Eukaryota, Metazoa, Chordata, Mammalia, Primates, Cercopithecidae.
GAGUGUUGUUCUUUUAGAAUUUGUCUAGCAGGUUUUCUGAUCUUCACUGGAAAGCUUUA